AAUCCCAGCUCUGCCAAUUGCCUGCUGCGUGACCUUGGCGGCACAUUACUAGCAAGUCUACAGCACUCACCACUGCUGCGGAUCUAACAGGACAAAGACUGAGAAAAGGUCUUCAGACUUGGAAUCUCUACAUGGUGUGCACAGCACCAUACUAAGCAUUUGGAAGAAAGAAGUCACUGGAAAUGUCAAGAAGAGUGGUUUCUAUGGCAUGGAAAGAACAGAAGAACACUGGGCAGCUGGCCUGAUUUUUCAUACCCUUGGUAAAAUACAGGCCUUAGUCACUCCCCCCGCUCUACCCUGGACGCGCCAUCAUGCACUCAGGCUGCACUCUUCUAGUUCCUUCACCUCAUCCCAACUUUUCCUGACCUCUCAGUGACAUCCCAGCCACGAAGGUGAUGGAAUUCACAAGCAGCUACGAGGCAGGAGAGGAGGAGGAGGCUGAGAAGAGCUAGGACAGUUGGUCAUCCUGUGCCAUGCCAUUGGUGGAACCCAGAUUACAAAGCUGCACCAACUCACAAAGCCUUUCAGCUAAUGCAACUGUCUUCAAGCCGAAGAUCAUAAAAUACAGUGAUUGGAAAGAAAACUACUCAAACACAAGGAAAACCCAAAGUAAAUGAGUUAACUGUAACCAACCGAAGCAUGAAACAGUAGGGAAAAAUGGGCACCACAUGAAAGGAGAGUCCGGGAAGAUUUCUACUCAGACACUUGGCAGUCUGACAGGGGGAGAUGCAUGAAACCAAGCAAGCAAUGUAACUGCCAUCAAGAUCUGUAUUCUUUGGCUCUCGUGGCUGGGCGUGGACUAAGUCAUCAAAUUUAAUUCUGAAUAAUGAAGACAGGCAAUGGCAAAAGUUCACUUCCAUCAGCAAGGAUGUAGGUGAUCAGAAUCCCCUUGCUUCCACUGGCAAGUAUAAGAACAGAAGGAAAUCUUCAGACUUGGAGCUCGUUUGGGCAGGGAAUGUGUCCACCCAAGUGCUUUAGUACAGUGACUUUCACACACUCCAAGAGGCUCAGCAGUGGCAACGGCUGCAGGAGCAGCAGCUCAGCAUGACCAGCCAGGAAACCUGCAGCUGCAGUGGGG
Tachyglossus aculeatus (Australian echidna) is the source of this 1078-nucleotide long non-coding RNA. RefSeq lists it as uncharacterized. The transcript has 5 exons. Lineage: Eukaryota; Metazoa; Chordata; Mammalia; Monotremata; Tachyglossidae. The record is from RefSeq and is a predicted model, not a curated record.